AUUGAACGCUGGCGGCAUGCCUUACACAUGCAAGUCGAACGGUAACAGGUCUUCGGAUGCUGACGAGUGGCGAACGGGUGAGUAAUACAUCGGAACGUGCCUAGUAGUGGGGGAUAACUACUCGAAAGAGUGGCUAAUACCGCAUGAGAUCUACGGAUGAAAGCAGGGGAUCGCAAGCCCUUGUGCUACUAGAGCUGCCGGUGGCAGAUUAGGUAGUUGGUGGGAUAAAAGCUUACCAAGCCGACGAUCUGUAGCUGGUCUGAGAGGACGAUCAGCCACACUGGGACUGAGACACGGCCCAGACUCCUACGGGAGGCAGCAGUGGGGAAUUUUGGACAAUGGGCGCAAGCCUGAUCCAGCAAUGCCGCGUGCAGGAUGAAGGCCUUCGGGUUGUAAACUGCUUUUGUACGGAACGAAAAGCCCCGGGUUAAUACCCUGGGGUCAUGACGGUACCGUAAGAAUAAGCACCGGCUAACUACGUGCCAGCCGCCGCGGUAA
This 498-nucleotide ribosomal RNA is filed under the name uncultured bacterium. RNAcentral describes it as "partial 16S ribosomal RNA". It matches the Rfam family "Bacterial small subunit ribosomal RNA", at positions 30 to 523 of the family's 1533-position model. The record is from RNAcentral.